AGAGUUCAGACCCUGGUGACCUACAGCAGUAGCAUGAGGUGACUAGAGUGCUGAGCUCUCC
This 61-nucleotide microRNA precursor is filed under the name Caenorhabditis briggsae. Its description in RNAcentral is "microRNA cbr-mir-247 precursor". Its record names the gene cbr-mir-247. The record is from miRBase by way of RNAcentral. Lineage: Eukaryota; Metazoa; Nematoda; Chromadorea; Rhabditida; Rhabditidae.